This 501-nucleotide ribosomal RNA is filed under the name uncultured bacterium. Its description in RNAcentral is "partial 16S ribosomal RNA". It matches the Rfam family "Bacterial small subunit ribosomal RNA", at positions 899 to 1397 of the family's 1533-position model. The record is from RNAcentral.
ACUCAAAGGAAUUGACGGGGGCCCGCACAAGCGGUGGAGCAUGUGGUUCAAUUCGAAGCAACGCGCAGAACCUUACCAACCUUUGACAUGUCUCGUUUGGGCACCAGAGAUGGAGUCCUUCAGUUCGGCUGGCGAGAACACAGGUGCUGCAUGGCUGUCGUCAGCUCGUGUCGUGAGAUGUUGGGUUAAGUCCCGCAACGAGCGCAACCCUCGCCCUUAGUUGCCAUCAUUCAGUUGGGCACUCUAAGGGGACUGCCGGUGAUAAGCCGCGAGGAAGGUGGGGAUGACGUCAAGUCCUCAUGGCCCUUACAGGUUGGGCUACACACGUGCUACAAUGGCGGUGACAAUGGGAUGCGACGGGGUAACCCUGAGCAAAUCUCAAAAAGCCGUCUCAGUUCGGAUUGUGCUCUGCAACUCGAGCACAUGAAGUUGGAAUCGCUAGUAAUCGUGGAUCAGAACGCCACGGUGAAUACGUUCCCGGGCCUUGUACACACCGCCCGU